RNAcentral lists this RNase P RNA (330 nucleotides) under marine eukaryotic metagenome. RNAcentral describes it as "Bacterial RNase P class A". It matches the Rfam family "Bacterial RNase P class A". Rfam says of the family: Ribonuclease P (RNase P) is a ubiquitous endoribonuclease, found in archaea, bacteria and eukarya as well as chloroplasts and mitochondria. The record is from RNAcentral.
UGGAUGAUCGCUCUUUAGGGAGAGGAAAGUCCGAACUCCAAAGGAUAAGGUGCCUCCUAACAGGAGGACUCAUUAAGAGAUGGAAAGUGCAACAGAAAGUAAACCGCCUAUAUUUAAUAGGUAAGGGUGAAAAGGUGGUGUAAGAGACCACCAGGAGAAUUUGAAAAAAUUUUUGCUAUGUAAACCCCACCUGGAGAAAGAUCAAGUAACUUUGUGUUAUCCGCACAGUAAAAGUGGGUAGAUCGCUUGAGUCUAUUAGCAAUAAUAGACCUAGAUGAAUGAUCAUCGUUCAGCUUAGCUGGAUACAGAAUUCGGCUUAUAGGUUAGCCU